CGAUCCUGCGACAGAUCAUCAGCAGUUCGGCGCCUCCGUCGGGUCAAACUGCUUGUUUUCCAUUUUUUCCUUUGCAAAAAGUCCACCAUUUCCGUUAUCUGAACAGCACAGCGCGUAAAAUCUUUCCCAGGAGGAAUAGAUUACUCAUCAAUGGACUAAAUCGGAUCCACCGCCCACCACCACCGCCAGCACCGCGAGAGGAAGAAGACGGCUUCCUCCCCCAGCCGUCGUGGCGAGCUGGCGAGGGUCUACGCGGCGCUACGCCUAUGCGGACACCCGGCCGGAAAUCAGCUUCAGAUACAUUUUCGGGCCUUGCCCGGCCGCCGCGCCGGCCGUCGCCAUCGACGCCGCUUCAAACCCAUGGCUUUUUUUACGCUUUCCUCUCCAGCGGCUCCUGCUUAGUCCUUUGCCACGCCUGACCUCACGCCGCCCCCCACCCAAACCCCCCUUUAAAACCCGCCACCGUCGCCACCGACUCGCCAUCACCCGACCACAGAGAGAGCUUUAUUCCCCCGGAAAGAAAGCAGUGACGGCGAGAGGGCGGGGGCGAAGAAAGUCCGGCGAAGCGGCGGUCGCGGCGGCGGAGGAUGCCGGGCGCGGUGAAGGCCGGGAGCCGGCCGCCGUGGCUUGGGCUGGGGGCGGCCGUGUGGCUGCAGGCGUCGGCGGGGACCAGCUCCGCCUUCGCGCUCUACUCGCACGCGCUCAAGGUGGCGCUCGGCGCCGACCAGAGCCGCGUCGCGCUGCUCGGCGUCGCCUGCAACGUCGGGGACAGCCUCGGCCUCCUCCCCGGCGUCGUCUGCAACAAGCUCCACCCGGCCCUGCUCCUGCUCGUCGCCGCCGCCUCCGGCCUCCUCGGCUACGGGGUCACCUGGCUCGCCGUCUCCGGCGUCGCCCCGGCGCUGCCCUACUGGCUGAUAUGGAUCGCAUUAUGCAUGGGUUCGAACAGCGGUGCGUGGAUGUCGACCGCCGCAUUAGUAACCAACAUGAGGAACUUCCCACUCAGCAGAGGGGCUGUUGCCGGCAUCCUCAAAGGCUACUCUGGUCUGAGUGCGGCUGUAUACACUGCCAUUUACACCGGCGCGCUUCACGGCUCAGCUGCAAACCUCUUGCUUUUUCUCACCCUGGGAGUUGCCAUCGUUUGCCUUCUCGCGAUGUACUUUGUGAGGCCUUGUGAGCCUUCUCUGGUGGAGAAUUCCUCGGAGCGAGUUCACUUCCUGUUCGUACAGAUCAACAGUGCUCUUCUUGGGGUUUAUCUCGUGGUGGCCACGACGUUGGAUCGUUUUCUGACUCUCACCCCUGCUUUGAACUAUUCCUUGAUUGCUAUUAUGGUCAUUCUCAUUCUUGCACCAUUUGCGAUACCCGUGAAGAUGACAUUGUUUCGAAGCGUCCCAAGGAAAGUCACUUCUGCUGCUGCUGACAAUGAUCACACGGAACCAUUUCUUCUGCCUUCUUCCUCUGAACCAAAUUUCGGCAAAAUCAAAGAUGAGGAUGCUGCAGAUAUUGAUCUUCUCUUAGCUGAGGGUGAAGGGGCUGUGAAGCAGAAGAGAAGAAGACCAAAAAGGGGAGAGGACUUCCGGUUCCGUGAAGCUCUGCUAAAGGCAGAUUUCUGGUUGCUCUUUGCAGUGUUUUUUAUAGGUGUUGGGUCUGGAGUCACCGUUCUUAACAAUCUAGCGCAAGUUGGAACUGCAGCAGGUGUUGUUGGCACAACUAUAUCAGUCUCUCUCUUCAGUUUGGGCAACUUCUUUGGCCGCUUAGGAGGUGGUGCUGUUUCUGAUUAUUUUGUCAGGUCAAGGACACUUCCACGGACAGUACUGAUCACAUGCACCCAAGUGGUGAUGAUAAUCAACUACCUAGUCUUCGCUCUGGGUCUCAAAGCCACGCUCUACAUCUCCGUUGCCAUACUCGGCAUCUGCUACGGCGUCCAUUUCUCGGUGAUGGUGUCGACGUCAUCGGAGUUGUUUGGGCUAAAGCAGUUUGGGAAGAUCUACAACUUCAUCUUGCUGGCAAACCCGCUUGGCGCGCUCGUGUUCAGCAGCCUCGCCGGGUAUGUCUACGAUCAUGAAGCGGCAAAACAGCACAGCGUCGCAGCAGUGGCGGGCUCUGACCAUGUCAUGGUAUGCUACGGCCCCAGCUGUUUCAGGCUCACGUUCUUUGUGCUGUCAGGCAUGGCAUGCUUGGGAACGUUUCUGAGCGUGAUCCUGACCGUGAGGAUCCGACCGGUCUAUCAGAUGCUCUAUGGAGGUGGACCCUCGAGCCAGCCCAGGAACUCUGCGCAUUGAUGCCCGGUGACCGUGAUCCUACCAGUUUCUGGAGAGGAAGAAAAUACAUUCCGGUUGCUUUUGACUCCACUGCAAGUUUGUAGUUGUGAAAAUCACUGGAUGUCACACUGGCAGCCAUUCACAAUUCCUCGCAGUUGGUUUGCUCCUUGACUUCAACUCUUGAAAUGGGCUGUGUUAAGGCUACAACGAACUAAUUUGCUUGCAUGCUGGAGGCCAAGUUCUGGGACGAUGAUAAGAAGAGGUUCCAAUCGGACGCCAUCAGGAAGGACCUUGACGCACAGGUCUUCUGCAGUGGCGAUGAAGAGUGGUGGUGGUGCAUAGCUGACAGCGGUGUUUGAAUUAAUCAACUGAUGGACAGAAUUGUGUACAAUCUGGAAAUUUCAACAAGGACUACAGAGUGUGUAUCUUGAUGCACUCCGUCGCAAUGUUCAAUCUGAACAUAUGAAUAUAACAUCCAUGGAUUAUGCCAAGUUACCCCUGACCAUGGUUUCGCUAGAAACCUGUGAAAACUGGUGUACACUUUCAUUAUUUUGACUCCAUAACAUAGUGAAAAUUGGCUAGCUUUCAAAUUGUUUUCUUAAUGUGUUAUUAGGUAAUUAACGGAUAGAAAUGUAGGCUACUCCUCAUGAUGUUACUCACAGUGGAAUUUGGUUCAAUUAGGUUCCACCGUUCCAAAGCAUGUGCAUGUGCAUGUGCUGGCAUGCUUACUUGAACCAGCUAAUUGAUGAUUUUUUAUUUUAGGAUAACUUGAAUGGUAAGUUUUGUUGUCCAGGCAAAUCCUUUUUACAAUCAUUUCCAUCAAUCGUUGUUAGUGUCUUCCUUUGCGCAUGCACUGCCUUUUACAUCUAUGAUGCAUAUUGCUUGCAUGCUUACGUGAACCAACUCAUUGUAUUUUUGUUAAAGGUCAGCGAUUACCAUUAUGUGCUUGUAAUAGUAGUUCAUUCUGAUAUUAACAAUCUUCACUGAUGUGAAAUUAAUGCAUCUCAUUAGAAUGUUUGAAGAUUGCAGUUUGUGGGAAAUCACAAGUACUGAGCUUAUCAACUGUUUUUAUGUACCCCAUUGCUGUUCAUUCAUAUAUUACAUUGAUGUACUUUAAGUGGUGAGGAAUUUCAAAUUUGAAUUAAAACCACAACAAGAAUUAUGGAACGUAGGGAGUAACUAAUAGCGAUAUAAUUGUUGCACUGCUACCUGGCUUGGUUAACCAAACUACUAACUAGUCUCGGUAAGGAUUUAUUUUUUGGGGGUCGUCUGUCUGCAAUGCAUAGCUUCUAUGUCCAUCAUUUGGCCUGCAUCUGCAUAUAUCUGUUCUUUUUCCCAAUUGCAUUGUCAUUAUCUUCCAUUGUCAUUUGGCCUGCAUCGGCAACAUUUCGACCAGAAAUUUGGAACUUUUUAACCAGAGAUUUGGAACCGCAUAGUGCCAUGGAUAAUACGGGAAAUGAGGACGAUUGCAUUUCUUAGCUGAUACAUGAUACAAGUGCUUAUAAUGUUAUCCUAUUUGAGGGAC
Triticum aestivum (bread wheat) is the source of this 3783-nucleotide RNA transcript. It is a transcript of the gene named protein NUCLEAR FUSION DEFECTIVE 4, with no coding region annotated. NCBI's taxonomy places the organism in Eukaryota, Viridiplantae, Streptophyta, Magnoliopsida, Poales, Poaceae. The transcript has 6 exons. The record is from RefSeq and is a predicted model, not a curated record.